This 468-nucleotide ribosomal RNA is filed under the name uncultured bacterium. RNAcentral describes it as "partial 16S ribosomal RNA". It matches the Rfam family "Bacterial small subunit ribosomal RNA", at positions 28 to 507 of the family's 1533-position model. The record is from RNAcentral.
GACGAACGCUGGCGGCGUGCUUAACACAUGCAAGUCGAACGGAAAGUCCCUGCUUUUGUGGGGUGCUCGAGUGGCGAACGGGUGAGUAACACGUGAGUAACCUGCCCUUGACUUUGGGAUAACUUCAGGAAACUGGGGCUAAUACCGGAUAGGAGCUCCUGCUGCAUGGUGGGGGUUGGAAAGUUUCGGCGGUUGGGGAUGGACUCGCGGCUUAUCAGCUUGUUGGUGGGGUAGUGGCUUACCAAGGCUUUGACGGGUAGCCGGCCUGAGAGGGUGACCGGCCACAUUGGGACUGAGAUACGGCCCAGACGCCUACGGGAGGCAGCAGUGGGGAAUAUUGCACAAUGGGCGGAAGCCUGAUGCAGCAACGCCGCGUGCGGGAUGACGGCCUUCGGGUUGUAAACCGCUUUCGCCUGUGACGAAGAGUGAGUGACGGUAAUGGGUAAAGAAGCACCGGCUAACUACGUG